GACGAACGCUGGCGGCGUGCUUAACACAUGCAAGUCGAACGGAAAGGCCCUGCUUUUGUGGGGUGCUCGAGUGGCGAACGGGUGAGUAACACGUGAGUAACCUGCCCUUGACUUUGGGAUAACUUCAGGAAACUGGGGCUAAUACCGGAUAGGAGCUCCUGCUGCAUGGUGGGCGUUGGAACGUUUCGGCGGUUGGGGAUGGACUCGCGGCUUAUCAGCUUGUUGGUGGGGUAGUGGCUUACCAAGGCUUUGACGGGUAGCCGGCCUGAGAGGGUGAACGGGCACAUUGGGACUGAGAUACGGCCCAGACUCCUACGGGAGGCAGCAGUGGGGAAUAUUGCACAAUGGGCGGAAGCCUGAUGCAGCAACGCCGCGUGCGGGAUGACGGCCUUCGGGUUGUAAACCGCUUUCGCCUGUGACGAAGCGUGAGUGACGGUAAUGGGUAAAGAAGCACCGGCUAACUACGUG
This 468-nucleotide ribosomal RNA is filed under the name uncultured bacterium. RNAcentral's name for it is "partial 16S ribosomal RNA". It matches the Rfam family "Bacterial small subunit ribosomal RNA", at positions 28 to 507 of the family's 1533-position model. The record is from RNAcentral.